CCAUCCUGUUUUAAAAUGUUGCCUCUAAAUAGAGAAAAUAUAACCGAAUUGGUGACUGGUUUCGAGGUAAUUGGAUUCCCACAAUGCUUAGGAGCAAUUGACGGAUGCCACAUUGAGAUUCAUCCAUCAUCUGACGAAGCUGUUGAUUAUUAUAAUUAUAAAGGAUGGUAUUCCACCGUUUUAAUGGCAUUAGUUGAUGCUAAAUACCGUUUUACUUACAUAAACGUAGGAAAUUCCGGGCGAUGUAAUGACUCUCAAAUUUAUGAGACGUCAUCACUUAAAAAAGAAAUGGAUAGUUGUCCUUUACUAAGCGAAAUGUCUAGAGAAAUUUCAGGCGUAAAAGUGCCAGUAUUCAUUAUUGGGGAUUCGGCUUUUCGAUUUAGCAAACAACCAAUGAAACCGUAUAAUAUUUAGCGUAUCACAAUUUUUGCGUCCUUCACAAUUUUUUAAAUGAUAACAACGACACGCUAAACGCUAAAUGGUUACGCGCUUUGGAAGAGUUGGAGACUAGACACCAGAAUCCGUGUGAUAUUUCAUAUGCAUCCGACGACCCAAUUAAUGGAGAAAUGAUUCGGACAGCACUUUGUACAUAUUUUGCAUCACUCGGCUCGGGAGACGGUACUGGUAGCGAAGAAGUAUCGCUUGGCGACAUCGGCAUAGCUGAGGGCGAUGGUAGGCAAACCGGUGAUGA
Bactrocera neohumeralis is the source of this 691-nucleotide long non-coding RNA. RefSeq lists it as uncharacterized. NCBI's taxonomy places the organism in Eukaryota, Metazoa, Arthropoda, Insecta, Diptera, Tephritidae. The transcript is spliced from 4 exons. The record is from RefSeq and is a predicted model, not a curated record.